RNAcentral lists this ribosomal RNA (448 nucleotides) under uncultured bacterium. RNAcentral describes it as "partial 16S ribosomal RNA". It matches the Rfam family "Bacterial small subunit ribosomal RNA", at positions 329 to 793 of the family's 1533-position model. The record is from RNAcentral.
CACCAGACUCCUACGGGAGGCAGCAGUGGGGAAUAUUGCACAAUGGGGGAAACCCUGAUGCAGCGACGCCGCGUGAAGGAUGAAGUAUUUCGGUAUGUAAACUUCUAUCAGCAGGGAAGAAAAUGACGGUACCUGACUAAGAAGCCCCGGCUAACUACGUGCCAGCAGCCGCGGUAAUACGUAGGGGGCAAGCGUUAUCCGGAUUUACUGGGUGUAAAGGGAGCGUAGACGGCAUAGCAAGUCUGAUGUGAAAACCCGGGGCUCAACCCCGGGACUGCAUUGGAAACUGUCAGGCUAGAGUGUCGGAGAGGCAAGUGGAAUUCCUAGUGUAGCGGUGAAAUGCGUAGAUAUCGGGAGGAACACCGGUGGCGAAGGCGGCCUGCUGGACUGCAACUGACGUUGAGGCCCGAAAGCGUGGGGAGCAAACAGGAUUAGAUACCCGAGUACG